GAUGAACGCUGGCGGCGUGCCUAAUACAUGCAAGUCGAGCGAACAGACGAGGAGCUUGCUCCUCUGACGUUAGCGGCGGACGGGUGAGUAACACGUGGAUAACCUACCUAUAAGACUGGGAUAACUUCGGGAAACCGGAGCUAAUACCGGAUAAUAUAUUGAACCGCAUGGUUCAAUAGUGAAAGACGGUUUUGCUGUCACUUAUAGAUGGAUCCGCGCCGCAUUAGCUAGUUGGUAAGGUAACGGCUUACCAAGGCAACGAUGCGUAGCCGACCUGAGAGGGUGAUCGGCCACACUGGAGCUGAGACACGGUCCAGACUCCUACGGGAGGCAGCAGUAGGGAAUCUUCCGCAAUGGGCGAGAGCCUGACGGAGCAACGCCGCGUGAGUGAUGAAGGUCUUCGGAUCGUAAAACUCUGUUAUGAGGGAAGAACAAAUGUGUAAGUAACUAUGCACGUCUUGACGGUACCUAAUCAGAAAGCCACGGCUAACUACGUG
Molecule: ribosomal RNA, 497 nt
Filed under: uncultured bacterium
Lineage: Bacteria
Description: partial 16S ribosomal RNA
Rfam family: Bacterial small subunit ribosomal RNA
Source: RNAcentral